This 1008-nucleotide long non-coding RNA is filed under the name Homo sapiens (human). RNAcentral's name for it is "INHBA antisense RNA 1". The record is from RNAcentral. Lineage: Eukaryota; Metazoa; Chordata; Mammalia; Primates; Hominidae.
AGGAAAAAAUAUAAAACAGAUCUAAUUUCAUGAAAAUGCUGUUGCCAUAAUGCUCAGGAGAACAGGGGGAAGAGAGAGAUUCAAGUCUUCCUAAUGUCUACCUUAUAUGCAGAGCCUUGGAAAGAUGGGCAAAUGCUCUGUGACAAGCCACCAGGGUAGACUGGUACUGAAAAGACCCUACUACACACAGGGGCUCUGUCCCUGGCUGGAAAGUUACAAGUCAGCCUACCUCUCUGUGAUCUGGUUUCCACACCUACUACUCUUUAUCCCAUGAGGAGCUUCUGGAAACUAAAAUAGCUGCCCAGGUAGAAGAGUGUUGACCAAAGGACACAUCACCAGCACAGACUGUUAAUCAUGUGACUAGAGAAAACUCUCAUGGUGGCAUUCAAAUUUCCAUAUCCUUCUUCUAUGGAAAUUUCUGAGAGACCCAGAAAAGAAGCGUAACGACGAGGGAAAGUGAUUCCUGCAGACCUGAACAUUCCAGACUUACCAGGUGAUCCAGCUGUCUGUCAGCGGGAAGAGGCUGAGGCGCCCCCUUCUGGUGCAUCUGAAUAGUAAGAAACCCUGUGUAGAAAGAAACCCUGUAGCAAUUGGGCACCUUCUCCGUGAUCUGUCUGCUUCCAAUACCAAAAAUUGUUGCUUUUUAAAUGACAUCCAUCCUAAGCUUAAAAAAGACGCAUAUUAUUUGUAUAAAAUGUUGAAGACGCAGAACAAAAAAUGUAAAUCACAUGUAAUCAUCCCUUCCAGAAAUAAUCGUUAUUAAAAUUUCUGUGUAUGUGUAAAAAAAAAAAUUGCAAUCCUACUGUAAUAUAAUCCUGUAUACUGAUAUUUUUCACCUAUCACUGUAUGUUGAGCAUUUUCAAUAGUCAAAUUAUUUCUUGAAAAUAUUAAUGACUGGGGAGUAACCUUUCAAAUAGGUGUGUCUUUAUUUUUAAACCAGUCCACAAUUAUUGUAUAUUGAAGUCAUUUCCCAAAUUUUGUAAGUAUAAGUAUUGCAUCCAUCCUUAU